GACGAACGCUGGCGGCGUGCUUAACACAUGCAAGUCGAACGGAAAGGCCCUGCUUUUGUGGGGUGCUCGAGUGGCGAACGGGUGAGUAACACGUGAGUAACCUGCCCUUGACUUUGGGAUAACUUCAGGAAACUGGGGCUAAUACCGGGUAGGAGCUCCUGCUGCAUGGUGGGGGUUGGAAAGUUUCGGCGGUUGGGGAUGGACUCGCGGCUUAUCAGCUUGUUGGUGGGGUAGUGGCUUACCAAGGCUUUGACGGGUAGCCGGCCUGAGAGGGUGACCGGCAACAUUGGGACUGAGAUACGGCCCAGACUCCUACGGGAGGCAGCAGUGGGGAAUAUUGCACAAUGGGCGGAAGCCUGAUGCAGCAACGCCGCGUGCGGGAUGACGGCCUUCGGGUUGUAAACCGCUUUCGCCUGUGACGAAGCGUGAGUGACGGUAAUGGGUAAAGAAGCACCGGCUAACUACGUG
Molecule: ribosomal RNA, 468 nt
Filed under: uncultured bacterium
Lineage: Bacteria
Description: partial 16S ribosomal RNA
Rfam family: Bacterial small subunit ribosomal RNA
Source: RNAcentral